UACGGAGGGUGCAAGCGUUAUCCGGAAUCAUUGGGUUUAAAGGGUCCGCAGGCGGACAUAUAAGUCAGUGGUGAAAGCCCAUCGCUUAACGACGGAACUGCCAUUGAUACUGUAUGUCUUGAAUUCGGUCGAAGUGGGCGGAAUAUGUCAUGUAGCGGUGAAAUGCUUAGAUAUGACAUAGAACACCGAUAGCGAAGGCAGCUCACUAGGCCUGGAUUGACGCUCAGGGACGAAAGCGUGGGGAGUAAACAGG
RNAcentral lists this ribosomal RNA (253 nucleotides) under uncultured bacterium. Its description in RNAcentral is "partial 16S ribosomal RNA". It matches the Rfam family "Bacterial small subunit ribosomal RNA", at positions 524 to 776 of the family's 1533-position model. The record is from RNAcentral.